This 972-nucleotide unclassified non-coding RNA is filed under the name uncultured cyanobacterium. RNAcentral's name for it is "partial contains 16S ribosomal RNA, 16S-23S ribosomal RNA intergenic spacer, and 23S ribosomal RNA". The stretch from base 1 to 111 matches the Rfam family "Bacterial small subunit ribosomal RNA", at positions 1423 to 1533 of the family's 1533-position model. The record is from RNAcentral. Lineage: Bacteria; Bacillati; Cyanobacteriota.
GAAGUCGUUACUCCAACCCUCGGGAGGAGGACGUCGAAGGUGGGGCUGAUGACUGGGGUGAAGUCGUAACAAGGUAUCCGUACCGGAAGGUGCGGAUGGAUCACCUCCUAACAGGGAGACAACACAAUGAUUUUGAUGCCUGAGUGCUUUUAUUCUUAGGCCAAAAUCCUGUCACCUUAGGUCGAUCGGUACCUCAGCGUUGAAGCAACAGAGUUAACAGAGAUGUUGAUGCGUGUUGUGGAGAUGUUCAGUUCCUAAACUUUGUCUAGGUCACACCCCACAAGGGUUGAGUUUUCCUGGGCCAUUAGCUCAGGUGGUUAGAGCGCACCCCUGAUAAGGGUGAGGUCCCUGGUUCAAGUCCAGGAUGGCCCAUUCGGUGUUGGGGGUUUAGCUCAGUUGGUAGAGCGCCUGCUUUGCAAGCAGGAUGUCAGGAGUUCGAGUCUCCUAACCUCCACUGACCGAACUCAAUCUCCGGUUUUGCAUUGAAAGAUGGAGAGCCACUCGAUUGUGAUGUGUGAUUUAGAUGUGUCCGCUGGAUGACCCCAGCUUCCUGUCAUUCCAAAUCAGAGUGAAGGUUUUUACUCGAAUGAAUUUGGUUGAUAAGAUGCUGGGCUCGAAUUCAAAUGAUCAAGCAAUUGGUCGUUUGGGUUUGAAGUCUGGCAGAACCUUGACAACUGCAUAGGUGAGUCUGGAAAAAACAAAGCAUCUUACAGAUGCAUUGUUUUGAAUCUGAUCUUCCGAAAGAGAGAUUGGAUCUAGAACAAUGAAAAUUCUUUUGAGCAAGAGCCGAGACUCUUGAACGUUCUUUGAUUCGUGUCGAGCGAAUCAGAGUUUGAUCUUGUUUUAGGAAUCAGCGAAAGUUGAUGAUUAAACCUUGAGAAUCUGCUUUCAACGGCGGUAAGCGUUCAGGAGAUUAAUUGGUCAAGCUACAAAGGGCUCACGGCGGAUACCUUGGCACACAGAGGCGAUGAA